AAAAUGGAUGGAGGAGGCGCCAAAGGAAGAAGAGCCAGUUGCUCAGCUAAAGGAAUAGAUGAAGGACAAGUCUGACAAGGACUUGGAAGAUAGUCAUCAGAAGAAAGGGAUGGAGGAGAAGGAAGAAGAGCCAGUUUCUCAGCUGAUGGAAGAGAGAACGAUAAGAUUGGUCCCCUGGUCAUUUGGGUUUUUGGCUAGUUUUUAUCUAUCUGUCUAUGUAUUGGCUAAAAAAUGGGCUGCUUUGACUUGAUGUUUCACAUUAAGCAUAAUAACAUGGGAUUUGAAAUCUGUUUUCUUGAAGGCCAAAUGGAAAUCAAGUGCCAAGAAGACCUCAGCCGAACGUGACACUGAAGCAGUGGUUUUUUCUUUGGAUAAAUACCAAAACAGGGCAGCAGUAAUUCAACUCUUACAGGAGGAACUUCUCAAUAGUCUACUUCACCCCUCAGGAAUGGCAGAGGACGUCUGAUUCUUUAUCCUCACCAAUUACAGGAG
Molecule: long non-coding RNA, 492 nt
Organism: Oncorhynchus masou masou (cherry salmon)
Lineage: Eukaryota; Metazoa; Chordata; Actinopteri; Salmoniformes; Salmonidae
Exons: 3
Source: RefSeq, a predicted model, not a curated record